AUUGAUUUGCCCCCCCCGUUGGAGCCUUGUGGCGUAAGCCUGGUAUCGCUUUUGAGUGAGCCGCUCGAUCAACACUAAACCAAAGUCAGGGCAAGU
Non-coding RNA from Legionella waltersii, 96 nucleotides. It matches the Rfam family "RAGATH-13 RNA". The record is from Rfam. NCBI's taxonomy places the organism in Bacteria, Pseudomonadati, Pseudomonadota, Gammaproteobacteria, Legionellales, Legionellaceae.